RNAcentral lists this ribosomal RNA (459 nucleotides) under uncultured bacterium. Its description in RNAcentral is "partial 16S ribosomal RNA". It matches the Rfam family "Bacterial small subunit ribosomal RNA", at positions 338 to 795 of the family's 1533-position model. The record is from RNAcentral.
CCUACGGGAGGCAGCAGUGAGGAAUAUUGGUCAAUGGGCGGAAGCCUGAACCAGCCAAGUAGCGUGCAGGAUGACGGCCCUACGGGUUGUAAACUGCUUUAUACGGGAAUAACGCGCCUUACGUGUAGGGCUUUGCAUGUACCGUAUGAAUAGGGACCGGCUAAUUUCGUGCCAGCAGCCGCGGUAAUACGGAAGGUCCGUGCGUUAUCCGGAUUUAUUGGGGUUAAAGGGAGCGUAGGCCGCAUGUCAAGCGUGCUGUGAAAUGUCCGGGCUCAACCCGGGCCUUGCAGCGCGAACUGGCGUGCUUGAGUCCGCGGAAAGCAGGCGGAAUUCGUCGUGUAGCGGUGAAAUGCUUAGAUAUGACGAAGAACCCCGAUUGCGAAGGCAGCUUGCUGCAGCGGAACUGACGCUGAUGCUCGAAAGCGCGGGUAUCGAACAGGAUUAGAUACCCGGGUAGUC